AAAUCAUGAUUAGGACACUUUAUGAGCAAUAACUAAAAUCUUUACCAUGGCUCAUAGAAUAGUUCCUCUUGUCCUUGUCUAAAAGUGGAAAUAUCAUAUUUAGCUCU
RNAcentral lists this small nucleolar RNA (107 nucleotides) under Phaseolus vulgaris (common bean). RNAcentral describes it as "Plant small nucleolar RNA R71". It matches the Rfam family "Plant small nucleolar RNA R71". From Rfam's summary of the family: R71 is a member of the C/D box family of snoRNAs containing the C (UGAUGA) and D (CUGA) box motifs. Multiple nearly identical copies of this snoRNA have been identified in Arabidopsis, and it is thought to function as a 2'-O-ribose methylation guide for 18S ribosomal RNA. Lineage: Eukaryota; Viridiplantae; Streptophyta; Magnoliopsida; Fabales; Fabaceae. The record is from Rfam by way of RNAcentral.